GGACCUGGAGCGAAUCUCAGAAAUAACGUCUCAGUUCGGAUUGUAGUCUGCAACUCGACUACAUGAAGCUGGAAUCGCUAGUAAUCGCGGAUCAGAAUGCCGCGGUGAAUACGUUCCCGGGUCUUGUACACACCGCCCGUCACACCAUGGGAGUCGGGAAUGCCCGAAGCCAGUGACCCAAGCGAGAGCAGGGAGCUGUCGAAGGCAGGCCGGACAACUGGGGUGAAGUCGUAACAAGGUAAC
Molecule: ribosomal RNA, 243 nt
Filed under: uncultured bacterium
Lineage: Bacteria
Description: partial 16S ribosomal RNA
Rfam family: Bacterial small subunit ribosomal RNA
Source: RNAcentral